This 2901-nucleotide long non-coding RNA is filed under the name Pomacea canaliculata. RNAcentral describes it as "uncharacterized LOC112554958, transcript variant X1". Lineage: Eukaryota; Metazoa; Mollusca; Gastropoda; Architaenioglossa; Ampullariidae. The record is from RNAcentral.
AGCGGAGGGUCGUUGUACGUCAUCGCUGAUGAAGUAGGGAGUAAGUACAGUCGUGACUACAAAAUCAACUACUUCCAGACUUUGUGUGAGUUGCUGCUGACUCGAGUUCCUCGUCUCCAUCUGUGGGCGGCAAGUUGUUUCCAAGACUACACACCCGCCGGCUGGCAAGUGGAAUAUUUAACCAGACCACUCCGCUCUCCUCCGGCCGUCGUCAGGGAAGUCGAGCAGGACGUGAGGAUCACUAGACACCGUGAGGUACUGCCGUACAGAGAGCGAGGUGUGCCCGACCACACAGACGGCCCGCCAGUCACACGACUGUAUCACCGAGGUCAGGGUCACCCAGGUCUCAUGCCUCGUGACUGUUUUACAUGCGGUCGUGAGGUGGCCAGCUUCCUACACAGUCUCCGUGUUGGUGUUACAGGGAGAAGCACAACAACAUCUACAACAUUGACCUCUACCAGUGUCGGCACAACACCACCCUGUCUACAGUGGAGAGACGUGCUGGUGUUGUACUGGAAUGACAUUAGUGAUCAGUGGGGUGUGGUCACAGGACUGCAAGAAGCGGGUAUCCCAGUGCGGAUGAUGAAGGAUGAUGACAUCGAGGACGUGGCCACGGCCCGCAGUGACGUGGUGUGGGUGGCGGGUGGAAAUCGUGUUCGUGGUCUGGAGAGAAAAGUCGUCGUCUGUCUGGAGGACCCUGAUUUUGAUUUAUUUACACCUAAGUAUUUAGAUCUUACCACUCCCCGACUUGACCUCAUGUCCCGCUGUACGUCACAACUUGUGAUUGUCUCCCUGAAGCUAGUGGAAUGAUACUUUAAUGUUAAUAAAUAGUAGAAGUUGUGUUUGUAAUCAAAAUAUAAUGAAUCUAAUUAUUUCCUAUUUUUUUAUGUAAGUUUUCUUGUAUUUUAAUAUCAGAUAAAAAAUAAAAAAAAAUUGUAAACAUACAUUCAUGGAAACGUUAUGACGUGUUUCUCUCUUUCUCCCUCUGUCUCUCUCUCACACACACAUACAAAUACACCAGCACACAAACAAAAAGCACAGUGUUCUUUUCAGAUAUAGGUAACACCGUGAAAUUAGUUUUUGUAGACAGAAGACCUCUGCAGGCCUAAGAGCAUUCUCGCCAUUCUAUGUUAACAAACAGCAGAAAGCUUUUAAAAGUAGUGUUCGGAUACAGAACACAAGCACAAAGUUGUGUUCAAACAGCAGACUCACAAACACACAGAUCCACAACUGUUUCCUGUAUCCAUCUUUCUCAGUUGUCUCCACUUUUCUCAGUACUCUUCAGCAUUUUCACUCGUUCUCUCACUUUAAAGAGUCAUGACUACCACGCAGGAUCUUUUUUUCUUCUUCUGAGAAUCGGCUUCUCAUUCUUGCAAUCUACCCUAAAUAAGGUUAAACAGAAUGUUUUAGUAAAGAUUUGUACCUGACACGCAUUUUUACAGCAGUUCAAUCGUACCUAAACGAAAAUCUGGCACGAUGAUAAAACAGGGUUAGGGUUACAUGGCAGGUCAUCGCUGUUUAAUUUGAUGAAAACUUCGAUUGAAAUGAGCAUGAAAUGGAUCAAAUGGUAAACAGAAAUGAUUUCCAGCUGUAUAUGUUGUUUCUUGGAGUAGUUUGUCUUCGAAAGCAAACUUCAUGUGUGUCAUAGGGACAUCCCAAAACACAAACGAUUGGUUGCUUGUGUAAUACAAUGUACACCGACUUCAAGUGUAUUCCUCCGCCUGAAGAGCAGAUAAGGUGUUCUAAUAAAUACUAAACCGCAGUUCAAGUCUUACAUUCGGACAUGGGGUGAUUACAAACAAUAAAAUGGUUCCUGUGGUCGUCCUUAUUGACCAUUACAACGUUUCACAAUGUCGUUGCCCAAUCGGCGUCUGACCCUUGUGUCCAUGGCAACUACAAGAACCUGACGGACAUCCACCGCAGUGUAGCCUAUAAGGCGGUCUACCCAGAACCUUUACUGUGUGACGAUGGCCUCACCGCCGGCUGGUACCGGUUUGUGGUCGACGUAGAAUGGAUUUUCCCUAAGUUAUUCCUAGCGACGAUCAACUGUCCUCAUUGUGUCUUAAACAACAUUUGUGUCGGACUGAUGGCGGGAAGAUAGUGAGUAGACACUAAAAUGAACAUCUGUGUGUGAACGGAGAUUUGAAAAGGAUGCACUAUGGGCACUUUUAUGAGCUCUACCCUCGUCUGACUGACCCGCCGAUAUUCGAUGGACCAGUAAUAGAACAGAACGCCUUCUACUUCACCUGUGACCUGACCUUCGGCGGCAGUAACCCCAAUCAAGCCUUUGAGUUCGUCUCCAAACAUGCAGCAAAAAUGUAUUUGGCUUGUAGAGCAGAAAAUAGAAAACUGACCUCAUCCACAGUGCCGAAAAAAAAAGUCCAUCAAGCGAUUUUAUCUCACAGCUACCAUCGAUGGCCGUCGUUAUAGCAACGCCGUGAAUGUGACUGUCUACGAACUCAAUCCGAAGGAUAACUCGCAGGUCUGCACCGUCUCCCUUAGCACGACAGAGUGGUCUCCCGUUCCGACAGUUCAAUGUAGCUUGUCGUGCGCGCUCAAUUUUCACUGACCGUGGUGUUUUCAGUCCCUAUAUAGUCAGCAAUAGUAUCUCAAUGGCAGGUCCCUGAUAGCAGGAGAAAAACUGUCACAGUAUGACGUGUCAGGAAGGUUUGAUGAAAGUUCUUUUUUGGAUGCAGUAAUCAGACAACAGAAAUGUUGGAACAUGGAAAGUGUCUUCUGUACGUCAAUGUUAACAAUAAAAAAGGUUGUAAAAAAUGUUCUUUGCACGGUUCUUAGCUCCUGAGAAUAUCCAAUAUGUUAUCUAAGUAUUCAGCCCAUUGUUUGGUGAGAGAGAAUCAAUGUUAAGGACACGACCUCUUUACACAACUCACUCACUCACCG